CCUGAGAAACCUAAAAGUUCGAAAGGAGAGAUUCAACGUCAGUAUGUAUUGUAUUCACGUGAGUAGUGAUGUGCGCACAUUUUCAUGUUUUUUUAUUGCAAUACCAUUACCGGCGUGCACUUCUCUUCUAGUAGGACGUCCCGACCCGUUGAGUCUUGGUCUACGGCACAGUCUUCGAUACUUUUAUUAGUAUCGAAGACCUUCUGAUAUCGAAGACCUUCUGAUGUACUCCUGGCUAAAGUGCUCGACGGGGUAUUAAGCCGCAAAUUUUAUUUGUGCGUCUGUGCGUCUAGCCUGCCGCAAGAUUAUUGACACACUGUAUUAUCAUAGACUUAGUGCUAUGUAUAUGGACAGUGCUCUUAGACUGGCUUUUUUAUACCUGUCAGGGACGCUUAGGCUUUGGGUACUCUCAGGACCCGUCUUGAAACACGGACCAAGGAGUCUAACAUGUACGCGAGUCAUUGGGUAUAUAUUUUUCAAACCUAAAGGCGAAAUGAAAGUAAAAGUUGAA
RNAcentral lists this ribosomal RNA (511 nucleotides) under Smithagathis davidsmithi. RNAcentral describes it as "eukaryotic LSU rRNA". It matches the Rfam family "Eukaryotic large subunit ribosomal RNA", at positions 386 to 736 of the family's 3401-position model. The record is from RNAcentral. Lineage: Eukaryota; Metazoa; Arthropoda; Insecta; Hymenoptera; Braconidae.